This 585-nucleotide ribosomal RNA is filed under the name uncultured archaeon. RNAcentral describes it as "bacterial SSU rRNA". It matches the Rfam family "Archaeal small subunit ribosomal RNA", at positions 89 to 656 of the family's 1478-position model. The record is from RNAcentral.
CUCAGUAACAUGUAGUCAACCUGCCCUGGAGACAUGGACAACCCCGGGAAACUGGGAUUAAUCCGUGAUAGGUCAUCCCAUCUGGAAAGGAGGGAUGGCUUAAAGGGGCGCGCGGGCUUCUUCUGCGCGUUCGCUCCAGGAUGGGACUGCGUCCGAUCAGGCUGUUGGCGGGGUAAUGGCCCACCAAACCUGUAACCGGUACGGGCCUUGAGAGAGGUGGCCCGGAGAUGGACACUGAGAGAAGGGUCCAGGUCCUACGGGGCGCAGCAGGCGCGAAACCUUCGCAAUGCGCGAAAGCGUGACGAGGUUAAUCCGAGUGGUCCCCGCUGAGGGGACCUUUUGUCAGCUGUAAAUAGGCGGGCGAAUAAGGGGAGGGCAAGCCUGGUGUCAGCCGCCGCGGUAAUACCAGCUCCUCGAGUGGUCGGGGCGAUUAUUGGGCCUAAAGCAUCCGUAGCCGGUUCCGUAGGUCCUCUGUUAAAUCCAACCGCUCAACGGUUGACCUGCAGAGGAUACCGCGGGACUAGGAGGCGGGAGAGGCGGACGGUACUCCGCGUGUAGGGGUAAAAUCCUUUGAUCCGCGGAAGA